RNAcentral lists this ribosomal RNA (403 nucleotides) under uncultured bacterium. Its description in RNAcentral is "partial 16S ribosomal RNA". It matches the Rfam family "Bacterial small subunit ribosomal RNA", at positions 30 to 526 of the family's 1533-position model. The record is from RNAcentral.
AUUGAACGCUGGCGGCAGGCCUAACACAUGCAAGUCGAGCGAGCGGCGGACGGGUGAGUAAUGUAUGGGGACUGCCCGAUAGAGGGGGAUAACUACUGGAAACGGUAGCUAAUACCCCAUACUGGUGUACAACCCAUAUGGGAUUAGCUAUUAGGUAAGGUAAUGGCUUACCUAGGCGACGAUCCCUAGCUGGGCUGAGAGGAUGAUCAGCCACACUGGUACUGAGACACGGCCCAGACUCCGACGGAGGCAGCAGUGGGGAAUAGUGCACAAUGGGCGCAAGCCUGAUGCAGCCAUGCCGCGUGUAUGAAGAAGGCCCUAGGGUUGUAAAGUACUUUCAGUCGGGAGGCGUUACCGACAGAAGAAGCACCGGCUAACUCCGUGCCAGCAGCCGCGGUAAUAC